Meleagris gallopavo (turkey) is the source of this 2121-nucleotide long non-coding RNA. Lineage: Eukaryota; Metazoa; Chordata; Aves; Galliformes; Phasianidae. The record is from Ensembl.
AUAAGAAGGGAAGAUGUGAAACCUUCUGUACCAAAGGUGGUGAUUACCACUGAUAAACCUAAAGCUCCAGUCUUAAUAUCAAAAAGUAAAGAAGGAAUUGCAACCAAACAGGAACGUGUGAGCAUAAGCCAUGAAAAGAUUAAAAAGGAAGCUAAGAAAACUACUGUAGUUCCGAAAAUAAUUGCACCAGUCACAGUGCCCAGAACUAGAGAAGAAAUUACAGCCAAGCAAGAACAAAUGCAUCUAGCUUAUGAUCAGGUGAAUAUAGCUGUUGCAGACGUGAACUGCGCUGUUACAACUUACCUUCUCUGCAAACCUCACCUUUUAAGAGCUACUUAAGUACAAUAGGAUGCAUUUAAAUUAUUUCCUGAUACUAUGCCUGUUAAGUGGAAUGAUAUUCUAAUGAUAGAUUCGGUGUGAAUUAUUAAGUUUCUAGUGAUGCCAAGAUUUUUGUCUUACCCUGACAGAAAGUGCCACUUUUCAGACUAAGAUCAGAUGACUCUGUGAAAGUUUCCUCUCUAACAAUGGCUUUCUAGUAGUGUUUACUUGAUCAAAUUGUUUCAAAUUCAGUGAAAUUUCUGAAUCUGCAGUGCUCUUUUCUACAAGCUCAGUCCUUGCAACUUUACAGUUAUCAGACAAAACAGCAUCUCUAAAUUAAGCAUUGGAUUGUACUGUUCUUCAUACCACACAAACUUUACCAUCAGUACACUUCUAUCCAGUUUGUUAUGUCUGGCAACUAAAUACGUGUUGAUUCUGCCUUGUUCUGGUAGGAUUUACCACAGUAGAAAAAUUUUUCUAGCAUUGUAUAGCAUAGGAUCUCUCAUCUGUGGGUGAGAAUUGGCAAAACCCUUUGCUUAAAAUUGACAUGCUUUGCUGGAAGCAGUAAAAUAUGCAUUUAUACAAUGCUAUUAUAAAAUAUAAUUUAAAGAUUGUAACAUUCAAAUCUGACUCAAAGGAGUCAGAGUGCAAGGAGAUUAAAAUUAAUUGUUAGAAGGUAUAAAUUGAGGGCCAAAUUCAAGCUAGUAUAAAGAAUGAUUUUGAAAUUUGCAGCAAACAGAACUGAGGUCCCUGUAACCUAAACACUACUUUAUUAAUUAUGCAACAUCUUUGAAAGCAAUCACAUUUUUGCCUUGCUUGUAUUACUUUAUUUUAAGACUGUAAUUGUUUUAAAAUCAGCAUGAAAUUAUCAAUUAGGUUUUUUCUUAUCUAUGAGGUGUACAUUCCAUAUGCUGUGUAGUGCUACGGAGUACACCCAGGUAUGACAGUAAACAGACAGAUCCCAUUAUCUAUUGUUGACUGACUCAGCAGAAGUUUGGGUUUUGAUAUCAUUGAUUAAUUGAAGCAGACAUUAUUUAUCAACUGUUAGGAAAAGAGAGAAAAAAAAAAAGAGUUCCUGAUACAAACAUAUUAUCUCCAGUUUCUCUGAAAACUAAGUUUUCUUUCUUUAGUAAAAUCAUUUAAAAUAGAUUAGCAUUGAAGUUUACAGAUAUGCGCAUGGUAAUUUUAGUCUCUGGAUAUAUUCCUUAGUAAAUACAUUUGUGUCAGAUGCCAGACACAUUCCACACAUUUUUCAUAGCAUUUAGAUUUUAUAUGGAGUUGAUGAGCAGAUUGACUUUAAAAUUUUGAACAUUUAUAUAGCUGUUGUACUCAGAGACAAGUAGUAAUAAAUUCAUCUAUAAAGCAUUAAGAGUGGACUUGGAUAGAAAUAAUGAUGUGUGUAAAGCAAUCAAGCAUAGUUGUAGUCUGAAUAUGUGUAGAUAAAGCUUGGAAAUGUGUCUAUAAUUGAAUCUACUGACUUUGAAGUGUAUUUGUAAGUGAACACAUUUAAAGUUUAUUAUUUUUGCUUAUCUAUGUAUGGAAUGCACCAUCUCUUUAUCUUGAAUAUUUUUUACUGAGCAGUAUGUUUAUAAACAUUUGCCAGAAAAGGAAGCCUUUAGUACACAAUGAUGAGCAUUUGUAUAAACUUUGACUGUAUUAUCCGUAGAUUGAAGCUGGAAAAAGGGCUGAAGCUGUAGCUACAGUUGUGGCAGCCGUUGAUCAGGCGCGUGUUAGAUCACCUUGGGAGACAGAGCAAGUAGAUGAAACUUACGUCAAGCAGAAAACUUUGGAAUAUGGUUAUAA